This 253-nucleotide ribosomal RNA is filed under the name uncultured bacterium. RNAcentral describes it as "partial 16S ribosomal RNA". It matches the Rfam family "Bacterial small subunit ribosomal RNA", at positions 524 to 776 of the family's 1533-position model. The record is from RNAcentral.
UACGGAGGGUGCAAGCGUUAUCCGGAUUCACUGGGUUUAAAGGGUGCGUAGGUGGAUUUGUAAGUCAGUGGUGAAAGCCUCGAGCUCAACUUGAGAAUUGCCAUUGAUACUGCUUGUCUUGAAUACGGUUGAGGUGAGUAGAAUAUGUCAUGUAGUGGUGAAAUACUUAGAUAUGACAUAGAAUACCGAUUGCGAAGGCAGCUCACUAAGCCGUAAUUGACGCUGAGGCACGAAAGCGUGGGGAUCAAACAGG